Papio anubis (olive baboon) is the source of this 148-nucleotide unclassified non-coding RNA. It matches the Rfam family "Metazoan signal recognition particle RNA". Rfam says of the family: The signal recognition particle (SRP) is a universally conserved ribonucleoprotein. NCBI's taxonomy places the organism in Eukaryota, Metazoa, Chordata, Mammalia, Primates, Cercopithecidae. The record is from Ensembl.
GCCAGGCACGGUGGCAUGUAUCUGUAGUCCCAGCUACUUGGGAGGCUGGGGUGAGGGGAUGGCUUGAGCCCAGGAGGUCUGGGUUGUAGUGAGCCACCAUCUUGCCACUGCACUCUAGCCUGUGCAACAGAGUGAGACCUCAUCUCAA